Molecule: long non-coding RNA, 1253 nt
Organism: Gorilla gorilla gorilla (western lowland gorilla)
Lineage: Eukaryota; Metazoa; Chordata; Mammalia; Primates; Hominidae
Exons: 3
Source: RefSeq, a predicted model, not a curated record
CUCUAUUGCCUGCUGUCAUGUAAGACAUAUGUUGCUUCCCCUUCACCUUCUGCCAUGACUGUGAGGCCUCCCCAGCAACGUGGAACUGUUUUUGCUAUACUACGCAAGUACCUUAAAGCCACAUACUCAUAGAUUCAAGUAUACGACAGUCACAAAAUACAAGUCUUACUAGGACCUUCUAUAGCAUAAGACAAAGAAGAAUACAUGUUUAAAAGAAAUGCAACACAUAGAUGCUGCCUGCAAAUCAGAAAGAAGAUAAAACCAAUUCACAAAGGAGCACCAGUGCCUUAGAAGGCUGUUUGCUAGAAAGCUCUUCAAUAACUAGACUUUUCUAUAUUGAACCUGUAGACAAUGAGAUAAGACAGCAGAAUUUUGAUGUGCCAAGGAGAUACAACAACCUCACUGUAGGCUGUUAUGAUAAUGUGUACUUACCUCUUCUUAAUUCUUUCCCACUAUAGAGUGAUAGCAGAAAAGAGAGGAAGAUACCUGGAAGAUAUACCUUAGAAAUACUUGGGAAGUAUAUGGAAAUGGGUACUUUUUCUGCUCUUUGAACAAUCAAUUCAUUCAAAACUCCAGUGUUAUCCUGAGCUACUAGGAGAAGUGUUAAAAAUAAACCUGAUUUGAUCUUAAAAAACAAGCAAAUAAAAACAGACAAUGGGACACAUUUUCUUAAAAAUAAUUGAGACUUACUCUAUGGAAAAUGUAGAUUUUAAUACAUUAAAUUUGUUAGCAGGUAUAGUUGAUUAGAUAGAUCAACAGAUAGAUAAAGAUAAAUAUUUUUUUAUGUACCAUAAAUGCAUGCAAACACAUACACAUGCAUAUUUGGGAUAUCACAGCAAUAGUAUGCAUCUUAGUCUAGUUUGGGCUGCUAUAACAAAAUAUGUGGGACAGGGUAAUUUAUGAAGAACAGAAAUUUAUUUCUCAUAGUUCUGGAGGCUGGGCAGUUUAGAAUCAAGGCUCCAGCAUUUGUUGUCUGGUGAGGGCUGCUGUCUGCUUCUAAGAUGGUGCUUUGUUGCUGUGUCCUAACAUGGCCAAAGGCAGGAAAGCAAAAAGGGCCUAGCUAGUUCCCUCCAGCCCUUAUAUAAGGCCUCUCAUGCCAUUAAUGAGGGUUCUGCUCUCAUGACAUAAUCACCUCUUAAAAGCCCUGUCUCUUAAUACUGUUACCUUGAGGAUUAAGUUUUAACAUGAAUUUUGGGAGCACAUUCAACCAUAGCAGUGUGAGAGGGAAGGUUAAAUGUCUUAGUUAAUGUUGA